Molecule: ribosomal RNA, 495 nt
Filed under: Gnathophis heterognathos
Lineage: Eukaryota; Metazoa; Chordata; Actinopteri; Anguilliformes; Congridae
Description: partial 16S ribosomal RNA
Rfam family: Bacterial large subunit ribosomal RNA
Source: RNAcentral
UCCUGACCGUGCGAAGGUAGCGUAAUCACUUGUCUUUUAAAUGAAGACCUGUAUGAAUGGCAUAACGAGGGUUUAACUGUCUCCUUCCCCCAGUCAAUGAAAUUGAUCUGCCCGUGCAGAAGCGGACAUAAAAACAUAAGACGAGAAGACCCUAUGGAGCUUUAGGCCAAGGACCAAUCAUGUUAAGAGACUACAAAACCAAAAAGAACAAAAAAGUCAACAAACCAAAUGCAACCUCGUCCAAGUGCCUUCGGUUGGGGCGACCACGGGGAAAAAAGAAACCCCCACAUGGAAUGGAAAUUAUUUCCUUAAACCAAGAAAAACAAUUCUAAGCAACAGAACAUCUGACCAAUAUAUGACCCAGGAAUAACAGAUCCUGAUCAAUGAACCAAGUUACCCUAGGGAUAACAGCGCAAUCCUUUCCCAGAGCCCAUAUCGACGAAAGGGUUUACGACCUCGAUGUUGGAUCAGGACAUCCUAAUGGUGCAGCCGCUA